AUUGAAGACUAUUUUUAAGGAAAAAAUACAUAAAAAACAACUAAAAGUUGUUUCAAGUGUGACACAGAAGAGCAUGAAGUUUUGGGAAAUAUAAGAACAAAUUAGACAACUCAAUUCUCAUUCCAGCCUUUGGAUCAUAUCUUGGCUCUGCUUCCUGACCUUUGGCAGCUUAUUUGGUUCCUGUUUUUGGACUCACCCUCAGCUUGUAUCCUGAUCCUGGCUCCAGACCUUUGGCCAUUAGAUUCCUCAUGAAGAAGACGUUUCUGACAACAGAUUCCUCAUGUCCUUUGACCUGCAUGCUGAAGAAGAACAAGAAGAAGUUUUCUGACAUGAGAAGCCUCAUGACCUGCCUCUCCCUCCUGGACUUGCUCUGCAC
Molecule: long non-coding RNA, 376 nt
Organism: Gallus gallus (chicken)
Lineage: Eukaryota; Metazoa; Chordata; Aves; Galliformes; Phasianidae
Source: Ensembl